Long non-coding RNA from Poecilia reticulata (guppy), 652 nucleotides. RefSeq lists it as uncharacterized. The record is from RefSeq and is a predicted model, not a curated record. Lineage: Eukaryota; Metazoa; Chordata; Actinopteri; Cyprinodontiformes; Poeciliidae.
GGAAAUGUUUGACACUGAAAAUUACAAGCUAGGAUAGAUAUGACAACUGUUUAUUUGGUGGAGGGGGUUGGUUAUAUAUAAGUUUCGUCCUGAUCCACACUCCAUACCAGUAGGUGGCGGUAAUGCACACCAUUAAGUUGUUUGCCAACCGCCAUUAAAACAAAAAGAAGAAGAAGACGAUAUGACAACUGAGACAGAAACACCGUGUGUGCACCCACUACGAACCAUGUCACUUUGAUGUUUGGCUGUCUGGUCCUGCUGAUGUCAUAUGCAGCCUCUGACAAGACCCAUGGUGAGUUGAGUGAUGCAGAAGAAACCAAGGUCAGGAAGAAGAAGCAAGAAUCAACGGCACUAAGCUUCCUCCCACUGCGAUAUCUGGGCCUGACAGACUGCCAAGUCAGAGGGAGGUAACCCUCCCUUCAUCUCAUUUAGGAAGACAUUACACCAAGCCAUGUUGAGAGAGCACCUGAGCUUUAAGGAGGUUCGUGUCUCCAGUGGUCAUUGAACGAGAACCAGGUUACACUCUACAGGUCGCCACACCAAGCUAAAGGAAUGAAUAAAAACAUCAUUGAAGGUUGAUGCAUCAAGUUUUAUCCUGGAACAUCAGGUCAGCAGAGGAAUCUAUAUAUAUAUAUAAUGUGUGUGUGUGUGU